Molecule: long non-coding RNA, 1441 nt
Filed under: Anas platyrhynchos platyrhynchos (common mallard)
Lineage: Eukaryota; Metazoa; Chordata; Aves; Anseriformes; Anatidae
Description: lncRNA (ENSAPLG00000030237.1)
Source: RNAcentral
AACUCUGAGUAGUCAACUGUCUGUGUAAGAACUACUUUAUACGGAAUAUAAAGUGAUUUGAAAUCUCUCAAAAUAAUAAAGGGUCUUAACCUUCUGUAAUCAGUAGUGCUGGAUAUGGUACUGCUGGGACUGGCAGUGUUAAAUACACCAUUCUCUCACACAAGAUCAACAUCAUUUUGAUAUUUUUUUUUGUACUCCAGUUCUUGUGGGUUGGUUGAUUUAAAGAUUCAAAUAAUUGAAAAUGCCAGAAGAUCCUUAUGUGUUAUUUAGUGUAUGUGGAAUAACAGCUACAGAUUGCAGAUUUGCCCUGUUCUGUUUGAGAACGUAGGCAAGGUUCUAGGGAAAAAUCCACGUGUGUCUAUUAUCUCCGGUGUAGCGGCUAGGAAGAAGCUGAAAAAAGUUCAUUUUGUAGUAAAUCCAGUUCAACAGCGUUAUAUUUAUGCUAGUUUAAACAUUUUAUUGUUAUUCAAAUGAUACCUGUUGCAUUUGGUUUGUGAAGUAUGACUAUAAAAGUGAAGUGUGCUCAAGCUCUGUCCUCUGCUUCUUUCUUUCUGUAGCAGCAUCCCUGCUGAAACAAACACCUCACGACACAGCAUGCGAAGGGUGGUGCAAAAAUAGUUUAUUACGAUAUCGUUUAUGUAAAGUUAGGUAGUUAUAUUUACAAAAUUAAAAUGAUCAGCUACAUCCAUGGGAACCUAGCACGACACACGAGAUUUUGUAAGGAAUAAAUACAGUGACAAAAAAAAGUGACGUUUCUAUUACAGUGAAGUUACCAGGAGCAGUGGCUCUUAAAAAAAGCAAUGGAAUAAACUGGGGUGGAAGAGAGGAGAGAAGCAGAGGGGAAUUAAUCGCGUGCGACGUCUCGUUUCCUGGAUGGAUCUCAUGCAAGAAACGCCCCUGGAGAGAGGCCCUUCGGACCUGCAGACGGACGGGGCUUCAGCACAGCCGUGCUUCCCUGCCUCCUGCUGUGACCAUUGCUGGCCUUGAGCCGUGGGGUUUUCCAGCAGCGCCGUGGCUGCAGCAUCCCCAACUGCACGGGGGCUUCUUGCAAGCGCCAGGGUCGCUGCUGCUCAGCCAAACACAGGUUGGAGGCGGCGAGCUGGCUGCUGCGCCUGGAAAAUGUACUGUGUGCUCAGCUCCUGCUUUUGGGGCCACGAGCCCUUUUUGUCAUUUCCAGGAGGAGGGCAGAGGACCCCGAGUGCAGGCGGUGGAGCGUGGUGUGUGCGUCCCCUCAGGCUGCUUUUUGGGGGCUGAAGGUGUGCUGGAGCACAGCUGAGGGCAGCCUUCACUUCUGAUCAGGUCAGUGGAAGGACCGACCGCUAGUACUGACCGUGAACGGCCACUGCCACUUCUGUUACCACCCAAAGACUUGCAGCGUCCCCUUCUCUCUCCCUAAAAACUUUAUCCCUCCGAAUAAACGAUCCCUUAAAAUCUGGAGCCA